UAUUUUUUUCCAGAAAAAAUCUAAAUUUAUUUUUAUACAUGUGUAUAUAUAUAUAUGAAAACAUUUUCUUCAAAUGUUUGCUUGCUGUAUUGUGAAAAUAGUAACGAAGGUAACCUAAGAUUCUUACAAAGUACCUAUUAUACAUAAAACUACAAAUAUGUGAGAUGUGCAGAAAAUAUACCGGAGCAGAGUAAAGUUUUCCAACAUUCUACAAAGGAUUACAAAUUUAACGUACAUAAAAGCAACAACCAUUAUCGUCCUCUACGGGAAAAAUAAAGUAAAAAAAGUCAGAAAAAGGAUUGCAUAAAAUGUGGAAUCACGAAAGCUUGAAGUAGUUCCUCGAGAUUUCCUUUUGGGAUUCAAAUCUUGCGUUUCAACCUCUCGAUGCUUGUUUGCAGAAAGGUUGGUACAUAAAGUUAAAAAGAAGGAAAGAAGAAAACAAGAAGAAGAGG
Molecule: long non-coding RNA, 452 nt
Organism: Apis florea (little honeybee)
Lineage: Eukaryota; Metazoa; Arthropoda; Insecta; Hymenoptera; Apidae
Source: RefSeq, a predicted model, not a curated record